This 1142-nucleotide ribosomal RNA is filed under the name human gut metagenome. RNAcentral's name for it is "bacterial SSU rRNA". It matches the Rfam family "Bacterial small subunit ribosomal RNA", at positions 378 to 1520 of the family's 1533-position model. The record is from RNAcentral.
GAACCCUGAACGAGCAAUGCCGCGUGAGUGAGGAAGGUCUUCGGAUCGUAAAGCUCUGUUGUAAGAGAAAAACGGCACUCAUAGGGAAUGAUGAGUGAGUGAUGGUAUCUUACCAGAAAGUCACGGCUAACUACGUGCCAGCAGCCGCGGUAAUACGUAGGUGGCGAGCGUUAUCCGGAAUGAUUGGGCGUAAAGGGUGCGUAGGUGGCAGAUCAAGUCUGGAGUAAAAGGUAUGGGCUCAACCCGUACUGGCUCUGGAAACUGAUCAGCUAGAGAACAGAAGAGGACGGCGGAACUCCAUGUGUAGCGGUAAAAUGCGUAGAUAUAUGGAAGAACACCGGUGGCGAAGGCGGCCGUCUGGUCUGGAUUCUGACACUGAAGCACGAAAGCGUGGGGAGCAAAUAGGAUUAGAUACCCUAGUAGUCCACGCCGUAAACGAUGAGAACUAGGUGUUGGGGGAAUAACUCAGUGCCGCAGUUAACGCAAUAAGUUCUCCGCCUGGGGAGUAUGCACGCAAGUGUGAAACUCAAAGGAAUUGACGGGGGCCCGCACAAGCGGUGGAGUAUGUGGUUUAAUUCGAAGCAACGCGAAGAACCUUACCAGGCCUUGACAUCCCUUGCAGAGGUAUAGAGAUAUAUCCGAGGUUAUCAAGGAGACAGGUGGUGCAUGGUUGUCGUCAGCUCGUGUCGUGAGAUGUUGGGUUAAGUCCCGCAACGAGCGCAACCCUUGUGAUAUGUUACUAACAUUGAGUUGAGGACUCAUAUCAGACUGCCGGUGAUAAACCGGAGGAAGGUGGGGAUGACGUCAAAUCAUCAUGCCCCUUAUGGCCUGGGCUACACACGUACUACAAUGGCGUCUACAAAGAGCGGCAAGCCUGUGAAGGCAAGCGAAUCUCAUAAAGGACGUCUCAGUUCGGAUUGAAGUCUGCAACCCGACUUCAUGAAGCUGGAAUCGCUAGUAAUCGCGAAUCAGAAUGUCGCGGUGAAUACGUUCUCGGGCCUUGUACACACCGCCCGUCAAACCAUGGGAGUUGGUAAUGCCCGAAGCCGGUGGCAUAACCCUUCGGGGAGUGAGCCGUCGAAGGCAGGACCGAUGACUGGGGUUAAGUCGUAACAAGGUAUCCCUACGGGAACGUGGGGAUG